Molecule: small nucleolar RNA, 79 nt
Filed under: Sphenodon punctatus (tuatara)
Lineage: Eukaryota; Metazoa; Chordata; Lepidosauria; Sphenodontia; Sphenodontidae
Source: RNAcentral
UUGCAAUGAUGUAUGAAUUUCUUCACCUGAAACUCUACCAUGUAGAGCAAACCAUAUGAGCUUUUUAACCCUGAGCAAU